This 108-nucleotide ribosomal RNA is filed under the name Octodon degus (degu). Lineage: Eukaryota; Metazoa; Chordata; Mammalia; Rodentia; Octodontidae. The record is from RNAcentral.
AUCUAUGGCUAUACUAACCCAAAUGUGCCCUGUCUCUUCUGAUCUUGGAAACUAAGCAGGCUCGUGCCUGAUUAGUACUUGGUUGGGGAAAAAAGGGGACUAUAAAUA